GUUCUAGUUUAUAGUUAUAUUAAUCUUAAUCUUUUUCUACUAACUUCCCUUUAUAAUUUUAUAUAGGAUGAGUUGGAGGUGCUUACAUUUAUCAUUUAUUCCAUAAGACUACAAUCUAUCAAGAUGAGAUGUUAAACUAAAGAAGUGAACAUCACUCAGAGAUGGAUGCAGUGACUGGCAAAACCUUGGAGCCCCACUUCUGGAAUUUCACCUGAUUGCAACUGCGGACAUUAGACAGCAGGCAGCUAGCUGAUUCCAGGACUGUUGGUGCCCCUAGAGUUACACCAUUCAACUUACACAUCCCUGCUUUAAAAAUACACAGUAGGACAGAAGCAAAUCCACAGCAAGAGCAGUUCCUGAGCUUAAAAGAAGACAAGCAAAUGAGCACUCUUCACUGAUAGGCUGCCUGACCAAUAAAAUCUUAUUCUCCCUAAUGAAGGAGACA
This 445-nucleotide long non-coding RNA is filed under the name Felis catus (domestic cat). Its description in RNAcentral is "lncRNA (ENSFCAG00000047832.1)". Lineage: Eukaryota; Metazoa; Chordata; Mammalia; Carnivora; Felidae. The record is from RNAcentral.